Molecule: ribosomal RNA, 245 nt
Filed under: Cladosporium sp.
Lineage: Eukaryota; Fungi; Ascomycota; Dothideomycetes; Cladosporiales; Cladosporiaceae
Description: partial small subunit ribosomal RNA
Rfam family: Eukaryotic small subunit ribosomal RNA
Source: RNAcentral
GNANAGCUUAUUUGACUCAACACGGGGAAACUCACCAGGUCCAGACACAAUAAGGAUUGACAGAUUGAGAGCUCUUUCUUGAUUUUGUGGGUGGUGGUGCAUGGCCGUUCUUAGUUGGUGGAGUGAUUUGUCUGCUUAAUUGCGAUAACGAACGAGACCUUAACCUGCUAAAUAGCCAGGCCCGCUUUGGCGGGUCGCCGGCUUCUUAGAGGGACUAUCGGCUCAAGCCGAUGGAAGUUUGAGGC